This 335-nucleotide ribosomal RNA is filed under the name Klebsiella oxytoca. RNAcentral's name for it is "bacterial SSU rRNA". It matches the Rfam family "Bacterial small subunit ribosomal RNA", at positions 42 to 374 of the family's 1533-position model. Lineage: Bacteria; Pseudomonadati; Pseudomonadota; Gammaproteobacteria; Enterobacterales; Enterobacteriaceae. The record is from RNAcentral.
GCGGGCCCUACAACUUGCAAGUUCGAACGGUAGCACAGAGAGCUUGCUCUCGGGUGACGAGUGGCGGACGGGUGAGUAAUGUCUGGGAAACUGCCUGAUGGAGGGGGAUAACUACUGGAAACGGUAGCUAAUACCGCAUAACGUCGCAAGACCAAAGUGGGGGACCUUCGGGCCUCUUGCCAUCGGAUGUGCCCAUAUGGGAUUAGCUUGUAUGUGAGGGAACGGCUCACCUAGGCGACGAUCCCUAGCUGGUCUGAGAGGAUGACCAGCCACACUGGAACUGAGACACGGUCCAUACUCCUACGGGAGGCAGCAGUGGGGAAUAUGCACAAUGG